Molecule: RNA transcript, 1049 nt
Organism: Lycium ferocissimum
Lineage: Eukaryota; Viridiplantae; Streptophyta; Magnoliopsida; Solanales; Solanaceae
Exons: 2
Source: RefSeq, a predicted model, not a curated record
ACGUAAUAAGUUAAUUAUAAAACAUACAAGAUUUGGGUUAUGCACAGAUCCACGAUUUUGAGCUAAAAUUUAGGCAUCCGAUUUUGGGUUGAACUCUGGGCAGUUACUCAUUUAAUUCCAUCAUUUCAAAAUAUUUCUCUUUCUACAGAAAUAUUCUUAGUGUGAUUUUCUCUCAAUUUCAAACCACAGUUUUCUCCACUUCAAAUCACGAUUUCAUCAAAGAGAAUACACAAUUUUGCCUUCUUCAAUCACUCUUUCACCAUUCUUACUGUUCAUCGUUAUUUUUGUGUAUUAACAGUGUUAUCGAUCCUAUACUGUUAGAGUUUAUGUGUAUUUCGUGUUCAUUUGUUUUUGCGAAAUAAUGAGUAAAAAGUUUCAAUGAUUUUCCUCCCCGUAAAAGUCCUAGAAUUGUGAGUUCAACGAGUCCUAAGAUAUGGCCAGAACCAAACACGAAACAUUAAAGAAGACGAUGAAGAAGAAAGUCAAGCCGAAAGGAAAGAAAUAAAUAGGCUCAGCUAGUGUUAUUACACUAACGUGGAUGUUAUCGAUGAAAUUAAGGCGCGUCUUAAGUUCAUGGAUUUCACUGUUUGAUUAUUUCUUGAUUGAAGGUUCAGACAUAGCUCAUCCGCAACUUGAAUGGGACGAUAUUUUCAUGGUUAAGUUGAAUGGGAAAAAGCUUUAUUUUGGUAUUAGAGAAUUUGUCAUUGUGACACAGUUUGAAAGGCGGCAUAGACAACGAUUUCGUCGCAAACUCCGAGGCAUGGCAUCGAUGAAUUUCCACUUUUUUGAUCAAGCCAAAGUACCAAAAAAGCGGUUGGUUAGGGUCUUUCAAGAUAAAUCUUUGAUUGAGGAUGUCGCGACCCAACCGAAAAGUGCAAAAAUAGUUAUUAGAGUAACUAGCUGGUUUGUGUUUGAUGUAAAAAGAUGGUUUGUUGGUGACUUCUUAUGUUUUCUUUGGACCCAUCUUAGUUUUUUGCUUGUUUUGUUAUGCAAAUAUUGUAAUUCAUUUUGCUAUGAAUAUAUCUAAAUAUAAUAUUAUGUUCUUACCA